RNAcentral lists this ribosomal RNA (398 nucleotides) under uncultured bacterium. Its description in RNAcentral is "bacterial SSU rRNA". It matches the Rfam family "Bacterial small subunit ribosomal RNA", at positions 358 to 772 of the family's 1533-position model. The record is from RNAcentral.
GGAAUAUUGCACAAUGGGGGAAACCCUGAUGCAGCGACGCCGCGUGAAGGAAGAAGUAUCUCGGUAUGUAAACUCCUAUCAGCAGGGAAGAAAACAGACGGUACCUGACUAAGAAGCCCCGGCUAACUACGUGCCAGCAGCCGCGGUAAUACGUAGGGGGCAAGCGUUAUCCGGAAUUACUGGGUGUAAAGGGAGCGUAGACGGUUAAGUAAGUCUGGAGUGAAAGGCCGGGGCCCAACCCCGGGACUGCUCUGGAAACUAUUCAACUUGAGUGCAGGAGAGGUAAGCGGAAUUCCUAGUGUAGCGGUGAAGUGCGUAGAUAUUAGGAGGAACACCAGUGGCGAAGGCGGCUUACUGGACUGUAACUGACGUUGAGGCUCGAAAGCGUGGGGAGCAAA